AAUCAAAAAACAUCUGUUUGCCUAGACUCAUUGGUUACAAAUAUGCUUCGGCUAAGAGCUAUUUGUCCAUUCUCCUGGACUGUGUUUCAAUUUCGACUCAUCAGUUGUGAACCACUCAUUAUUCAGAUGAAUAAGUGUAUAGAUGAGGAGCAAAUAUUUGAUUUUAUUGAAAGAAACAAAAUCAUACUUUCAGAAAAACAAGUGGGAUGUACAUUUAAUAUACUUUGGAAGCUUCAAAAGCAGAAGAUCAGUCUAUUAAAAAAUGUUGAGUAUGUCAGAGACCAUUCUCAAUUUCUUACUCUUCAUAAUUUAGCUACAAAUAAAUUCAAAUUAAUGAAUGGCAAUACCCUGGUGAAUGUGUUAUACAUCACACAACAGUUUGAUAUUAAACUGCUGUCAGAAUUUUCCUCUUGCUUAGCAGAUCAGCAUUUGUAUUUUAGUCCAUUAAUGGGAAAAAUAGCUGAUAUUGUCCAUAGGAACUUGGAAACCAUCCAGAACUUAAGUUCCUUGUCUGUCUUGAUGGUCAACAUAUCUUCUUUAAUAUCACGACAUUUUCAAGAACAACUGGUGAACAAAACGGAACUUGUUUUUGACACCACAGAUUCUUCUGAGGUCAACGUUGCAAAAAGAAUGGUACAGUUUCUUCGAAACUUUAGAUAUCAUUAUCAACCACUAUUAGAA
This 681-nucleotide long non-coding RNA is filed under the name Homo sapiens (human). RNAcentral describes it as "non-protein coding lnc-SLF1-4:1". Lineage: Eukaryota; Metazoa; Chordata; Mammalia; Primates; Hominidae. The record is from RNAcentral.